RNAcentral lists this long non-coding RNA (204 nucleotides) under Brassica napus (rape). RNAcentral's name for it is "long non-coding RNA (BNAP_LNC005322)". Lineage: Eukaryota; Viridiplantae; Streptophyta; Magnoliopsida; Brassicales; Brassicaceae. The record is from RNAcentral.
AAAUUAGAGUGUAGACUACAAAACAAGUCUAUAAAGUAGACUUCGUAGGAAGUCUAUAUAUAUGUAGACUUCUUUUAUUACGUGUAGACUUCCAAAGGAUAGAAACGUAAAAUACAUUUAUGUUUUUUGUUUGGUCAUAAGAGUGAAAUAGUACUUUCACUACUCCUUUAGGUUGGUUUUGCAUUUGACUGAAAGUGGGGUACA